This 333-nucleotide ribosomal RNA is filed under the name Triticum aestivum (bread wheat). RNAcentral describes it as "partial small subunit ribosomal RNA". Lineage: Eukaryota; Viridiplantae; Streptophyta; Magnoliopsida; Poales; Poaceae. The record is from RNAcentral.
AUGUUGUCGGCUGCCACAAGAGUGAAAGUCCGUCGGGCGGUGCCUCUGUGGGGUCUCCAAGACAAUGACGAUGAAAUGAAGCUACAAGACCAGCCUGCUCCCUCUAGGGAUGCGGCAACCAUCAAUGGACAGAAAUUCCUAUUCUUGGACCUUGAGUUCUCUCCUCUCCCAGCUUGCACUCGUGACUGGCUAGAGAGCAACUACCGCAUUCAUGGUUUCAUCAAAGUUUCCACCAGUCUGAUUCUUCUUCUGAAUAUUGUAGCGUUGCUGCACUAUUUCUGGCAUGUCUCUAUAUUGCCAUUGGAUGCCAAGCGGAAAGUCUCAGUUAUCUAA